Molecule: ribosomal RNA, 453 nt
Filed under: uncultured bacterium
Lineage: Bacteria
Description: bacterial SSU rRNA
Rfam family: Bacterial small subunit ribosomal RNA
Source: RNAcentral
UACGGAAGGCAGCAGUGGGGAAUAUUGCACAAUGGGCGCAAGCCUGAUGCAGCCAUGCCGCGUGUAUGAAGAAGGCCUUCGGGUUGUAAAGUACUUUCAGUCGUGAGGAAGGUGUUAAGGUUAAUAACCUUAGCAAUUGACGUUAGCGACAGAAGAAGCACCGGCUAACUCCGUGCCAGCAGCCGCGGUAAUACGGAGGGUGCGAGCGUUAAUCGGAAUUACUGGGCGUAAAGGGCACGCAGGCGGUUAAUUAAGUUGGAUGUGAAAUCCCCGGGCUUAACCUGGGAAUGGCAUUCAAGACUGGUUAGCUAGAGUCUUGUAGAGGGGGUAGAAUUCCAUGUGUAGCGGUGAAAUGCGUAGAGAUGUGGAGGAAUACCGGUGGCGAAGGCGGCCCCUGGACAAAGACUGACGCUCACGUGCGAAAGCGUGGGGAGCAAACAGGGAUUAGAUACC